CGGUGUUGUUUUUGUCGUGGCUAUGUCGUGGCCAUGGCGAACAAAUGUCGAAAAAGUUGUUAGCUUUUUUCUCCGUGUUCGAGUGUUUUUACGGAUCACAUUCAACCAUAUUUUUAAUAUGUAAUAAGUUCUCUCUUGACAAUUACGUAAAUGGUACUUCCAAAACAGCUGAGUUAAUCAAGUAGUGAUCAUUGUUGCAUUCCCAACAAAGAGCAUGCAGCAAACUUCAGAAAAAGAAAAACAGAGAUUUGGCUUAAUAGAUUGAAAAAAAUUUUUUCAAAGAAAAAGUAAAAGGGCAAUAACACGAUCGACUAAGUUCUUUGUUUAUUUACCCGUUGGCUGCUAGCCUGCUACAUUGAAUUUCCCUCUUUGACUUCGGGCAUGCUUCGGGCCCGCUCUUUUGAUUCGAGGUUAUUCCUGCGCCGCUAUUCAAUAGAUUGAAUCCUUUGAACCUGACGUGCUAUCAUUAGCCAUACUGCUCACUUGCCUCUUUCGUCGCUCCGAGGCAUGGGGGCUGGGGCUGUUCAGCCUGUUCCAGCUACGCGGCCAGCAUCAUUCAACUACCCAACCGACUUGUACUACCCCUGCUCUAAACAUAGCACGGAAUUUUCAUCUUCAGAUUGUUUGGCCGGUGUUCGAUGUGUGAUGGCGUUUCCUUGACGACGACGAGAUGCUGAUUUUGGGGACGAGAAUAUUAAGUUCUAAACUACAGGUUUCUAAAUUUGCAUGACAGACUUUAUGAGAAGCCUUGUCCUUUGAAGAAAACGGACAAUGACUAUACAGUCAACAAGGUCCCUUGUUUGGUAACUCGUUGGCUGCUACCCUUUUAACUUCCUUAAACGGGCCCUCUUGAUUUAAGGGUAACUCCUUCGACCUUCACUACUAAUCGUGGACUUCAUCGAUUGGUGAAAACUGACGAGAGAAUGCUGUGAUUCAAGACUGAUUAGUUGUGUAGUUGAUAGAUAAAUAACAAGUGCAUAUCUGGGCUCCCUUCUUUUCUGUGGCCCCGUUUCCCUAACUAACCACUAACCAACGCCCGCCGGUGGUCACUCACCCGCUGUGAAACCAGGAGGAGGGGAGGGCUCUGGU
This is a long non-coding RNA of Daphnia pulex (common water flea), 1089 nucleotides long. RefSeq lists it as uncharacterized. The record is from RefSeq and is a predicted model, not a curated record. The transcript has 6 exons. Lineage: Eukaryota; Metazoa; Arthropoda; Branchiopoda; Diplostraca; Daphniidae.